Toxorhynchites rutilus septentrionalis is the source of this 386-nucleotide long non-coding RNA. RefSeq lists it as uncharacterized. The record is from RefSeq and is a predicted model, not a curated record. NCBI's taxonomy places the organism in Eukaryota, Metazoa, Arthropoda, Insecta, Diptera, Culicidae. The transcript has 3 exons.
GACAAAUUUAAUCAUAAGAAACAGCAGAUUAUCAACUGAUUGAAACGUCAUUGGUAGCUUUAGUGAAUGGAACAGAGAAAACAUGGUUCCUAUUGUUAACAAGUAUUUUUCUGGGUAUUCUUCGUUACAAAUAUUGAUGUUAAAAAUACUAAUCAAGUCGGGAAAGACUGUGGAGGCACUAACUACGUUCCCAAGAGCAACCGAAGGCAUGGACGAACCAGCGGAUGGAAGAAACUGUUAAGGGAGGGUCUUCCGUGAACAUUCUAAGAACAACAUUCAUACGGCACCUCAAAAAUUCCAAUUUUUCGUCACAGCUAGAACCACUUCCGGUUCCAGUCAGCAGCAGGAACAAGAAUAUUUAAAAGGAAGUGACAGAAUCGUUGUAU